RNAcentral lists this ribosomal RNA (301 nucleotides) under uncultured bacterium. Its description in RNAcentral is "partial 16S ribosomal RNA". It matches the Rfam family "Bacterial small subunit ribosomal RNA", at positions 509 to 807 of the family's 1533-position model. The record is from RNAcentral.
CAGUCGCCGCGGUAAUACGAAGGGGGCUAGCGCUGUUCGGAAUUACUAGGCGUAAAGGGCGCGUAGGCGGCCAUUCAAGUUAGAUGUGAAAGCCCUGGGCUCAACCUAGGAAUUGCAUUUGAUACUGUUUGGCUUGAGUUCGGGAGAGGUGAGUGGAAUUCCCAGUGUAGAGGUGAAAUUCGUAGAUAUUGGGAAGAACACCAGUGGCGAAGGCGGCUCACUGGACCGACACUGACGCUGAGGCGCGAAAGCGUGGGGAGCAAACAGGAUUAGAUACCCCGGUAGUCCCUGUCUCUUAUAC